CAGUCGCCACGGUAAUACGAGGGGGGCAAGCGUUGUUCGGAAUUAUUGGGCGUAAAGGGUGCGUAGGCGGUUACGUAAGUCUUAUGUGAAAUCUAUGGGCUCAACCCAUAGUCUGCAUGGGAAACUGCGAGGCUUGAGGAUGGGAGAGGUGAGUGGAAUUUCCGGUGUAGCGGUGAAAUGCGUAGAUAUCGGAAGGAACACCUGUGGCGAAAGCGGCUCACUGGACCAUUUCUGACGCUGAUGCACGAAAGCUAGGGGAGCAAACAGGAUUAGAUACCCGCGUAGUCCCUGUCUCUUAUAA
This 301-nucleotide ribosomal RNA is filed under the name uncultured bacterium. RNAcentral's name for it is "partial 16S ribosomal RNA". It matches the Rfam family "Bacterial small subunit ribosomal RNA", at positions 509 to 809 of the family's 1533-position model. The record is from RNAcentral.